AAUUCCCGGUGUAGCGGUGAAAUGCGUAGAGAUCGGGAGGAAUACCAGUGGCGAAGGCGGCCUUCUGGACUGACACUGACGCUGAGGUGCGAAAGCGUGGGUAGCAAACAGGAUUAGAUACCCUGGUAGUCCACGCCGUAAACGAUGUCGACUAGCCGUUGGGCUCCUUGAGAGCUUUGUGGCGCAGUUAACGCGAUAAGUCGACCGCCUGGGGAGUACGGCCGCAAGGUUAAAACUCAAAUGAAUUGACGGGGGCCCGCACAAGCGGUGGAGCAUGUGGUUUAAUUCGAUGCAACGCGAAGAACCUUACCUACCCUUGACAUCGAGAGAACUUUCCAGAGAUGGAUUGGUGCCUUCGGGAACUCUCAGACAGGUGCUGCAUGGCUGUCGUCAGCUCGUGUUGUGAAAUGUUGGGUUAAGUCCCGUAACGAGCGCAACCCUUGUCCCUAUUUGCCAGCGAUUCGGUCGGGAACUCUAGGGAGACUGCCGGUGACAAACCGGAGGAAGGUGGGGACGACGUCAAGUCAUCAUGGCCCUUACGGGUAGGGCUACACACGUGCUACAAUGGCCGGUACAAUGGGUUGCGAAUCCGCGAGGUGGAGCUAAUCCCAUAAAGCCGGUCUCAGUCCGGAUCGGAGUCUGCAACUCGACUCCGUGAAGUCGGAAUCGCUAGUAAUCGUGAAUCAGAAUGUCACGGUGAAUACGUUCCCGGGCCUUGUACACACCGCCCGUCACACCAUGGGAGUGGACUGCACCAGA
Molecule: ribosomal RNA, 759 nt
Filed under: Halomonas sp. JSM 111044
Lineage: Bacteria; Pseudomonadati; Pseudomonadota; Gammaproteobacteria; Oceanospirillales; Halomonadaceae
Description: bacterial SSU rRNA
Rfam family: Bacterial small subunit ribosomal RNA
Source: RNAcentral